Molecule: ribosomal RNA, 253 nt
Filed under: uncultured bacterium
Lineage: Bacteria
Description: partial 16S ribosomal RNA
Rfam family: Bacterial small subunit ribosomal RNA
Source: RNAcentral
UACGUAGGGUGCAGGCGUUAAUCGGAAUUACUGGGCGUAACGCGUGCGCAGGCGGUCUUUUAAGUCAGAUGUGAAAUCCCCGGGCUUAACCUGGGAACUGCGUCUGAAACUGGAAGGCUUGAGUGUGGCAGAGGGGGGUGGAAUUCCACGUGUAGCAGUGAAAUGCGUAGAGAUGUGGAGGAACACCGAUGGCGAAGGCAGCCCCCUGGGCUAACACUGACGCUCAUGCACGAAAGCGUGGGGAGCAAACAGG